This 253-nucleotide ribosomal RNA is filed under the name uncultured bacterium. RNAcentral's name for it is "partial 16S ribosomal RNA". It matches the Rfam family "Bacterial small subunit ribosomal RNA", at positions 524 to 776 of the family's 1533-position model. The record is from RNAcentral.
GACAGAGGUGCCGAGCGUUAGGCGGAAUCACUGGGCUUAAAGCGUGUGUAGGCGGGCCGUUAAGUACCUUGUGAAAUCCCCCGGCUCAACCGGGGAACGGCUGGGUAUACUGGCGGCCUUGAGCGGCCUAGGGGCAGAUGGAACAGACGGUGGAGCGGUGAAAUGCGUAGAUAUCUGGAGGAACACCGGUGGCGAAGGCGGCGUUCUGGACUGUUACUGACACUGAGGAACGAAAGCCAGGGGAGCAAACGGG